CGAGCGACGAUACAACGGCUAUUAUUUUUAGAACUUGAAGUACAGCCUAUGCCUUACGAUAUUAUCAAUAUAUCCAAAUUAUAUCGUCCUACAAGUUUUUGAAACAAUGGCUGCGCAUGCGAUCGACAGAUUAUCACUUACAAAUGGUCCACUUGAUUCAUCAAGUAUACGACAAAUAAAACCAACUUUAUCGAAAGAUCUCUUAAACUGUUCGAAAUUUUCACAAUCAAUGUACGUAGAGUAAAAGUUUUUUCUCUCUGCGUAAUGCAGGAUCCAACUUUCGAUUUUUCGAAAUGAUGUAUUUUAAAAGUCUUUUGCCAAAGAUAAAUUCACGAUUGAAGAACUCUCUCUUUCUCUCUCUCUCUCUCUCUCACUCCCUCUGUCUGUUCGUCUGUCUCAAUUGAUCAUGCAAUUUACACCACCCUCGAGCGUUCUGUAUGCCAACGGCACAAUCAAACGUGCUCUAUUAAAAUUCCUCGAAUAACGAGAUGGAAUCCGAGCGAUCUCUAAUGUUCUCUCGAUCCUUUCGAUCUAAACGCUUGCUAAGCGCGAUACGUCGAAACAAAAGUAAAAGAGAGAGAGAGAGAGAGGGAGAGAGAGGGCGAAUCGGUUGGAAAAGCGAUGGUCGUGUCGUUCGUGAAUAUCUUCGACUGAAAUUAAAAUUGUUUUACGAACGAUGCGUUUGAAUGAGCGCUCGCUUUCACCUCGGAAUAUUCAGAGAUCGGCGAAAAACAUGAUCGUGAAACCGAAUUGUAAUAGCGAGAGAAAAAUUCGCGUUGAUGGUUGAAAUUUUCUCUCUUUUUCUCUGAUUUUUAGCAAGCAACGACGAGGUAAUAUUUUUAUCUGACAAUGUGAGCUUCGAUGAAAUUAAAUGCGACGGAUUUCUAAAUAAAAUCAGCGAGGACCUCGGCAAAUAACAAACGAGUUGCGUGCGAUGAUCGAUCGACUUUCGAAACUAGUACCUACCGAUUAUGGGUUCUUCCUUAUUAUCAAAUAAUAGCAUUAUUUUUUCUGGAAGGUAAUGUCAUUCGAAACGUCAUUUAUCUUACCUAAACCUCUUAAAGUUCAGACCGGGGGUGGUAGAUAAUCGUGCGUGAAGCAAGAAAGGAAAAAAAGAAAGGAAAAGGAGACAAAAAAAAAAAGAUAAUAGAAAGAAGAAGCAACCGUCUUUGGCUGUAGCAGGGAAAAAUAGAGAGAAAGAAGAGAACGAAAAGGGAGGAAAUGGCGAUCGAAGGAAAGGUCGGAAAGAAGACGAAGAAAAGGUUGAAAGAAGAUGAUGAAGACCAAAGAGAGGUAGAAAAGGAGAGAGGGUGAGAAAGAGAGCGAAGGGCACGUAGAGGAUUGCGGCGAAGCGGAGUACAGAAGGGAAAUACGAAAGGGGAAUCGAUGUGAGUGUGAAGCCGUGGUGGGGAGACUGGGCACCAAUCAAUAGCCGCGCGGCGGCGCCACACCUGUCAACGCGGGCUGAAAUAAACACAGGUGUACGCGACCGUAGCGCAUUUUCCGAGUGAUUCAUCGAGCGAGUUAUGAAAGGAAUAUUAGAAUCUUGGCGCAAAAGGAAACAGAAAGCUCGUAACUUUCGGGCACGAGGAGAGGCGUUGAUGGGUGGAACGUGGGAAACGUUAAAAAGCGCUAGGGACGUUAGGAAUUAGCAGCAGCCGCACUUGCAACGGUCACCAGUAGCACCGCCGUUGGUGUCGAUCGUCGUCGUCAUACUUGUCGUCGUGGUACUAGUACUACCGGCAUUAGUACUAACCUCGAAGUAGUUACCACUACUGGUACCGUCGUUUACCAGUGAUAUGGUACGAACAGCAACCAGCAACGGCGUUGCUGAUGGAGGCGGAAAUGGAACGAUCGCGGCCGAGACACUCGUACCACGAACGUUGAGUGCACAAUUGGGGGAGAGAGAGAGAGAGAGAGAGAGAGAGAGAGAGGGAGAAAAGGGGAGAAGGAUGAGUGUAGGGAAAGCCCGGCCCUCGAAAGGGUAAUCCACUGUCGAAAAUACAAUUCCGUGUGCCUGCUGCGUUAUUCCACGUCCACGGAAAUCGUGUUUCCAGGACUGGAACUAACGGACAUCGCGCAUCGAAAGGGAGAGAGAAAGAGAGAAUAACGAGCGAUUCUCUUACGCUAGAAACAACAGAUUUCACAAACGCAAGAAGAAAAAUCUUGGAUUAUCUACCUAGGCUGCUUGCCUGGCUGUCUGCCUUACUGCUGGCUACUGCGGUGGAUGAAGCGAGCUCGUCAAACCGUGUGUGAGAGAGAGAGAGAG
Molecule: long non-coding RNA, 2269 nt
Organism: Vespa velutina
Lineage: Eukaryota; Metazoa; Arthropoda; Insecta; Hymenoptera; Vespidae
Exons: 4
Source: RefSeq, a predicted model, not a curated record